Molecule: long non-coding RNA, 419 nt
Organism: Myotis daubentonii (Daubenton's bat)
Lineage: Eukaryota; Metazoa; Chordata; Mammalia; Chiroptera; Vespertilionidae
Exons: 3
Source: RefSeq, a predicted model, not a curated record
GAGCUCUGCUGAUGGGAUGACUGCACAGCUCUGCUGGUUGCCCUGCAGCCCUGCCAGGCGCUGUUACCUCAAACUCUCUGCAGACAUCCUGUGCUGGAACCAAAGAGUUCCCACCUGAAGAAGAUGAGCACAGCUAUGAGCGGUCCCCUUCUCCCACAAGGCCAUCAUUGCUCCCCAAACCAGGGGGCCAGCCAAAAUCAUGCUUUCAUGGAAGGCCCAAGGACUACCUGAAAUAUCUUCAAAAACUAAAAACAGGAACUCCCUGCAAAGCGAUGAGAUGGUAGUGAGCACCGUUUCGUUCCCUUUCCACCAACUGUCUAUUGUGACACUAUGGAGCUAACUAGCAGAGCUGCUGAAAUCACAGUUAAGGGAAAGGAACAUUAAGACACAUAAGCGAGGGGAGAGAUGUGUGUGAAGUA